GACGAACGCUGGCGGCGUGCCUAAUACAUGCAAGUAGAACGCUGAAGCGAGGAGCUUGCUCUUCUUGGAUGAGUUGCGAACGGGUGAGUAACGCGUAGGUAACCUGCCUUGUAGCGGGGGAUAACUAUUGGAAACGAUAGCUAAUACCGCAUAACAAUGGAUGACACAUGUCAUUUAUUUGAAAGGGGCAAUUGCUCCACUACAAGAUGGACCUGCGUUGUAUUAGCUAGUAGGUGAGGUAACGGCUCACCUAGGCGACGAUACAUAGCCGACCUGAGAGGGUGAUCGGCCACACUGGGACUGAGACACGGCCCAGACUCCUACGGGAGGCAGCAGUAGGGAAUCUUCGGCAAUGGCGGCAACCCUGACCGAGCAACGCCGCGUGAGUGAAGAAGGUUUUCGGAUCGUAAAGCUCUGUUGUAAGUCAAGAACGAGUGUGAGAGUGGAAAGUUCACACUGUGACGGUAGCUUACCAGAAAGGGACGGCUAACUACGUG
RNAcentral lists this ribosomal RNA (497 nucleotides) under uncultured bacterium. Its description in RNAcentral is "partial 16S ribosomal RNA". It matches the Rfam family "Bacterial small subunit ribosomal RNA", at positions 28 to 507 of the family's 1533-position model. The record is from RNAcentral.